RNAcentral lists this ribosomal RNA (483 nucleotides) under uncultured bacterium. RNAcentral describes it as "partial 16S ribosomal RNA". It matches the Rfam family "Bacterial small subunit ribosomal RNA", at positions 28 to 523 of the family's 1533-position model. The record is from RNAcentral.
GACGAACGCUGGCGGCGUGCUUAACACAUGCAAGUCGAACGAUGAAGCUGGAGCUUGCUCCGGUGGAUUAGUGGCGAACGGGUGAGUAACACGUGAGCAGUCUGCCCUUGACUCUGGGAUAACUGCGGGAAACUGUAGCUAAUACCAGAUACGAGGCUCGGAGGCAUCUUCGGGUCUGGAAAGAAUUUCGGUCAAGGAUGAGCUCGCGGCCUAUCAGCUUGUUGGUGAGGUAAUGGCUCACCAAGGCGACGACGGGUAGCCGGCCUGAGAGGGUGACCGGCCACACUGGGACUGAGACACGGCCCAGACUCCUACGGGAGGCAGCAGUGGGGAAUAUUGCACAAUGGGCGAAAGCCUGAUGCAGCAACGUCGCGUGAGGGAUGAAGGCCUUCGGGUUGUAAACCUCUUUUAGCUGGGAAGAAGCGAAAGUGACGGUACCUGCAGAAAAAGCACCGGCUAACUACGUGCCAGCAGCCGCCGUAA